GUCGAACGAGAACGGGUUUAGUUUACUAAACUGUCAGCUAAGUGGCGCACGGGUGAGUAAUGUAUAGUUAACCUGCCCUCUAGAAAGGAAUAACAGUUGGAAACGACUGCUAAUGCCCUAUAUGCCCAUAAUACAUAAGUAUGCUGGGGAAACGCUUUAGUGCUAGAGGAUGGGACUGUAUGGUAUCAGAUAGUUGGUGAGGUAAUGGCUCACCAAGUCAAUGACGCCUAACUGGUUUGAGAGGAUGAUCAGUCACACUGGAACUGAGACACGGUCCAGACUCCUACGGGAGGCAGCAGUGGGGAAUAUUGCACAAUGGAGGAAACUCUGAUGCAGCAACGCCGCGUGGAGGAUGACACUUUUCGGAGCGUAAACUCCUUUUAUAUAGGAAGAUAAUGACGGUACUAUAUGAAUAAGCACCGGCUAACUCCGUGCCAGCAGCCGCGGUAAUACGGAGGGUGCAAGCGUUACUCGGAAUCACUGGGCGUAAAGAGCGUGUAGGCGGGUUAUUAAGUCAGAAGUGAAAUCCUAUGGCUCAACCAUAGAACUGCUUUUGAAACUGGUAACCUAGAGUAUGGGAGAGGUAGAUGGAAUUUCUGGUGUAGGGGUAAAAUCCGUAGAGAUCAGAAGGAAUACCGAUUG
RNAcentral lists this ribosomal RNA (642 nucleotides) under Halarcobacter bivalviorum. RNAcentral describes it as "bacterial SSU rRNA". It matches the Rfam family "Bacterial small subunit ribosomal RNA", at positions 61 to 715 of the family's 1533-position model. Lineage: Bacteria; Pseudomonadati; Campylobacterota; Epsilonproteobacteria; Campylobacterales; Arcobacteraceae. The record is from RNAcentral.